AACGAACGCUGGCGGCGUGCCUAACACAUGCAAGUCGAACGCGAACGGGUCUUCGGACCCUAGUAGAGUGGCGCACGGGUGAGUAACACGUGGGCAAUCUACCCAGGGAUUUGGGAUAACCAGGGGAAACCCUGGCUAAUACCGAAUACGUCCAUGAGGCCUUCGGUCCUCAUGGAGAAAGGUGGCCUCUUCUCGAAAGCUGCCGUUCCUGGAUGAGCCCGCGGACCAUUAGCUUGUUGGUGAGGUAACGGCUCACCAAGGCCAUGAUGGUUAGCUGGUCUGAGAGGAUGAUCAGCCACACUGGGACUGACACACGGCCCAGACUCCUACGGGAGGCAGCAGUGGGGAAUCUUGCGCAAUGGGGGAAACCCUGACGCAGCAACGCCGCGUGGGUGAUGAAGGCCCUUGGGUCGUAAAGCCCUGUCUGGAGGAAAGAACCCCGCUCUCGCUAAUACCGGGAGUGGAUGACGGUACCUCUGAAGGAAGCACC
RNAcentral lists this ribosomal RNA (490 nucleotides) under uncultured bacterium. Its description in RNAcentral is "bacterial SSU rRNA". It matches the Rfam family "Bacterial small subunit ribosomal RNA", at positions 29 to 494 of the family's 1533-position model. The record is from RNAcentral.